CAAUAGCGUAUAUUAAAGUUGUUGCAGUUAAAAGCUCGUAGUUGGAUUUGUGGUGUGUCCAGUUGGCCUUUGCUCUUUGAGUGAUAGUGCUUUACUGGUCUGCCAUGUUUGGGUGGAAUCUGUGUGGCAUUAAGUUGUCGUGCAGGGGAUGCCCAUCGUUUACUGUGAAAAAUUAGAGUGUUUCAGGCAGGCUAGGCCGGAAUACAUUAGCAUGGAAUAAUAGAAUAGGACUAUGGUCUCUUUGUUGGUUUGAGGGACUAUGGUAAUGAUUAAUAGGGAUAGUUGGGGGCAUUAGUAUUUAAUUGUCAGAGGUGGAAUUCUCAGAUUUGUUAAAGACUAACUUAUGCGAAAGCAUUUGCCAAGGAUGUUUUCAUUAAUCAAGAACGAAAGUUAGGGGAUCAAAGACGAUCAGAUACC
RNAcentral lists this ribosomal RNA (417 nucleotides) under uncultured eukaryote. RNAcentral's name for it is "bacterial SSU rRNA". It matches the Rfam family "Eukaryotic small subunit ribosomal RNA", at positions 592 to 1016 of the family's 1831-position model. The record is from RNAcentral.